RNAcentral lists this ribosomal RNA (253 nucleotides) under uncultured bacterium. RNAcentral describes it as "partial 16S ribosomal RNA". It matches the Rfam family "Bacterial small subunit ribosomal RNA", at positions 524 to 776 of the family's 1533-position model. The record is from RNAcentral.
UACGUAGGGUGCAAGCGUUGUCCGGAAUUAUUGGGCGUAAAGAGCUCGUAGGCGGUUUGUCGCGUCGAAUGUGAAAACCCGGGGCUCAACUCCGGGCCUGCAUUCGAUACGGGCAGACUAGAGUUCGGUAGGGGAGACUGGAAUUCCUGGUGUAGCGGUGAAAUGCGCAGAUAUCGGGAGGAACACCAAUGGCGAAGGCAGCUCGCUGGGACGGUACUGACGCUGAGACGCGAAAGCGUGGGUAGCGAACAGG